Orcinus orca (killer whale) is the source of this 5453-nucleotide long non-coding RNA. RefSeq lists it as uncharacterized. The transcript is spliced from 4 exons. Lineage: Eukaryota; Metazoa; Chordata; Mammalia; Artiodactyla; Delphinidae. The record is from RefSeq and is a predicted model, not a curated record.
CUUGUUGGAUUCUCAGGCUUAUGCAUUCUCCACUAUACCAUACUGUUUGACUACGGGCCAUCUUCCACCCAGAUAACUGCAAAAGCCUUCCCGACUGGUAAAGCUCACCCUCUCCAUCCUGCAUCCAAUACGUAGCCUAGCCAGAGCAAUCAUCCAAAAACAAACUUCAUUGUGGCACUGCCCUACUCAAAUCCCUUCAAUAAAUUCCCUUUGAUUUUCAAUGGAGUCCAAACUACUUAGCAUUCCCUACAAGGUCCCUCAGGAUCUGGCCCUGUUCACCUCCCCAGCCUCAUCUCAAGCUCCUCUCAUUGCAGGUGACAAUUCAAUGACUCUGAAUAUAUUUAAGUCCCUGGAAUGCACCAUGGAUCAUUCUCGCCUCCAGGCCUUUGCACGUUGUCCCUAAUGCCGGGAGCACUCUUCUCCCUGACCUCCUGACCCCUCCUUUUAGGUAGUCUAGGUAACAGUAGUACUUGUUUCUCACAAAACUUAACACAUUUUAUUGGAAUUAUCUGUAUCUGUUCUGAGAUCCCUACACUUCCUCUACUGUGAGCUAGCUACAGGAGGAAAGAUCCUGUUUCUAUCUCUUUCACUCUUGACUCCACAACACCUAGCACAUGCACUGGUGUAUCUGUUGCUAAACACAUAUGUUUUGAAAUGGAUAAUAAUUUGAUGAGGCAAGAGCCAUCACAAGUUACUAAGUGAAGCUAUAUCAGUGGAAGCCAAACCCAUAACUGACCCCAAAACCCCUACUCUUGACAUCUGCAAUUUACUGUCCAUUGCUGAAGAUUCUUACACAUUCCAAAAAUUGCACCGAUAUUUUUUAGACAUGUGAUAUAUAUGCUUCCUGUGCUCAGAGCUAUAAAUAAUUCCAAGGACAAGGCUCACUUCUUGCCCUAAACCAGCUUACAGUUUAGCGGAGGAGCUUUCAUUUUGCCAACCUGUUGCAACUCACAUUCUCUUUAAGUCCUUUCAAGACUGAGCUGAGAAGGGAUCCUUGACAGUUUAUCAAGAAUUUGGUAACUGCCAACUCACUCCUACCGGUCCACAAGGGGCUUAAUGGCUGAGGCUCAUCACUAUCAUCCCAGUGGUUAGAUAGGGCCUGAUAUAUAAUAACAGGUUUAAAAAUCACCGAAUGAGUGAAAGAAUAAGUGAAUGGGGUUUCCCUGGUGGCGCAGUGGUUGGGAAUCUGCCUGCCAAUGUAGGAGACAUGGGUUAGAGCCCUGGUCCGGGAGGAUCCCGCCCUGGCGCGGAGGGGCUAAGCCCGUGUGCCACAGCUAGUGAACCUGCGUGCCACAACUGCUGAGGCCUGCACGCCUAGAGCCUAUGCUCUGCAGCAGGAGAAGCCACGGCAAUGAGAAGCCCACGCAAGGGAAAGUGGCCCCUGCUCUCCACAGCUAGAGAAGGCCUCCGCACAGCAACAAAGACCCAACGCAGCCAAAAAUAACUAAAUAACUAACUAAAUAAAUAAAUAAAAUAAUGAAUGAAUGAACGAACAAUCAAAUAAAUCAGGUCUUGGAAUAAAGCUUUGGAAACUGGGUCACAGCCUUAGUAGGAGUUCUCCUCCAUCACUAAACAGAUAAAUGACUUGGUGACAAGUCCCCUAAGGAAGAACCAGCCCCUUAGACACACAUACAUACUGGCCAGCCUGCAGAGCCAGUGGAGCAUGGGGGCAGGGAAAAAGAGGAGCAGGGCAGGAUUUUAAAUGAUUCUCUUCUGUGUCCUCAGGUUUAGAGGGGAGAUGCUAUGGGGCAGACACACCCAUGCAGAGUAUUGAGAUGGCUUCACCCAGCCCUCUACAACCCCAAACCUGCUCUCUGAGGCACACCAUAGAGACAAUCAGCAGGUCAUUAGCAAACUGUACAAAUUGCCCUGGACUCAGGAUGGAACCCUGGGGACCUGAAGCCGUAAUUGAGAGAAGAUAUGGUGUUGCUGACAGUUACCUCUGAUGGCAGUUUAAAAAGCUCCUCCAAGGAAGAAGGAUGCCCUCCUAGAACAAUGGUCACACGAAAAAAGCAGAACGAAGAAAGUCAAGACCACGCCUAUCCCAAUCUCUCUCAAAAACUCAGAUACCUAAGACCAUACCAAAUAGGUCCAGGCCUACAGGAAAGGAAACUGAGGCUCAAGAUUAUCCAGCAGUCUGACUCCAGAGCCCUCCGUGGUCACCCCAGGUUCUAAAACUCCUCAGGUAUGGCAGACUACAAAGUGCGUCUUUCCUCUAUAGGCAAUGGGGAGCCAUUAGAGAUUUUAGGUGGAUCCCCUAAAAGUAAGUCUAACAUGUUUUAUGAGAAAAAGACCCCCAUUCUUUGCCAAGCGUUGUGGGUUUUUUUGUCUGCUGAUUCAAUACCUUGAUUACUUCUGGCUGAAUUUGAUUUCUACCUUGUUUAGAAAAUGAUCAGUGACUUUAAAAGGUCCUUUUUUGCAUGUGAAUCAUAAACCCCAGAAUCAGGAAGGAGGUAACAGUGAUGCUGUUUCCAACAAGCAGGAAUGGGUACCUGCCACGUGUUACUCAGAUAUGCUGUACAGAAACCAACGUGAGUUGUCACACUGAGCAUACAUGGUAGGGUCCGUCAUUUAUACCUAUUCUUGUGGGGGUGGGGUCAUAUUUCUAAAUCCAAGUACUUUAAAUCUGAAUACUUCUUUGCUUUUAAUUGAUGGUUUUUAAAGGGCAAGAUUUGCUUAGAACCAUGUUAAAGAUAGAAGAGUGGAGCUACAGUGACCUAAAAUGAUCUAAUUUUCUAGAAAAUUACUACUUUCUGCAAGCUGCAUAAACUUUAAUUAAAAAGACAAGGAGGUCUAUUCUCUCCUUUUACACACAUGUGACAUGCUAGGCUCUUGGGAUUUGGUAAAAGGAAAAGAGCAGAUUGAAGAGAUUAGAAUUUUUAGCAAAACUCUAAAUAUAAUUAAGAUAUAAUGCUGAUUUCCAUCUUUAAGGACUAAGAAGUAACCAACAUUUGUUGCUUUUCCAGAAAGUACUUUUGACUUCAAAAUAUGCAUAAAGUUAGCUUACAAAAUGAACUGUAGAGGCAGGUUAAGUCACAAGUAAGACAAUGCACAAAUCAGCUCAUGUGAACGUGACCACAUGUUUUUCAGCUAAAUAUCACCAAAAUGAGCAUUCCUGGGAUGUUUAAUGCAAUGCUUUAUGUAUCUGUAUCCAAUAAAAUAUCUCUAACAUCCUAUCAAGAAAUAUUGUGGUAGCUUCCACAGCAAAUUUUCUAGAACUUGAUUUUAAUGGUUGCAGGUUUAGAGGAAUGGAUCAGGGAAAAGGGAGGCCACUAAAGUGAGAACAGACACUGAGUCUGAAGAUAACCUCAGCAAUUCACAGGACACAGUCUAUGACCACUAAAGAUUUCUCUGCCUAAAUAAUCCCUCCUGUGGUUCUUUUUCCUUCACCUCCUUUCUCUCCUUGCCCUCUUCCUUCCUGAACUCUCUCUUUCCAUUUUAGUCCUCCUUCCAAGCUGUGCUCCCAAGCUAGUUGUCUAAAAUCACUUUAAAAGGACACAUUUGAUAUAAAGCAGUUUAAUGUACUUUGUCCUACUUGUAAAAGCAUUUGGGUAGCCUCAUUGUCAGUGUGAUUUGGGCUGUCAUGGAGGCUGGCCCGCUGAGGUUAAAUGAAAAUCAACUGUUAUAGGGAUGACUGGAAGGAGGAAAAGUUUUUUAAUGAAUUCAGAUAUCUGCAUGUGUUCCUCCCAUUCUACAAGUUCUGAAGAAAACUGGGUGGCAGCUGUAACUUCAUAAGCUGCCUCUUGCAAUAUAAUGAUGAAGCUAUGACAGAAAACUGAGAAAUAAGGAUGUGUAUAUAGCACAAAUGUUUAUGUAUACAUUACUUUUGUUGAGUAUGUAGCUCAGCUCUACUAACUAAACUGAUUGAUUAACUCUAUUUAUAUACAUGGGAAGUGUUUGAAAAGCACUGUAAAAUUGAUCUGAGUGUAUAUAUGCAAGCAGAGUGAAAUACUGUAUUGUGUGUAUAAAUAUCAGGUAGCAUAAAAUAAAAUACCCCUGUAGUUGUUUGUUUAGGGACACAUUUGGAUUGAAUGAGCAUUAUAACAAGCAUAUCUUUAAAAGCCGCAAAAACAUCACACCUUUUAGUUUUAAUAAAGUCUAGAUUUUGGCAGUUCUUUUAUCACAUCUGUCAUCUCCUAAGCUUUCCUUAGCCAAAGCACUCAGACUUGAAUUUUGAAAUUGUCAGUAUAGGCCUUCUAAUCUUUAAAUCUUAAAUUAUCUAAGCAGAUUAACAACCAUUAUUCUAUGCCUACAGGACUCCAGGGUAAAAAAAGCAAAGGAAAUACAGCUUUUUUUUUUUUUUCCAGGCAAUUAAGCUCCUGUGGAGGUUGCAUUGGGGGCAUGUAUUUGAAACAUGGUCUUAGGUAUUUUUGUAAAUAACCAGGUAAACAAGAUGAGUACCUUAAUUAACUCCAGUAUCCAGAGCUAUAAGACAAAAAAUGGCUCUAUAUAAGAAGCUUAAUCGUCCAGCUUUUAAAUAAAAAGUUAUUCAUAGAUCAUACUGACACUUUCCAAUUUGCCAACUGGCCAUGGUUGUCCUGAAGCCAGGAGAGAUAUCGCGAAGAAAUACUUUAAAAAAAAAAAAAGGAAAAAACAUUAAAGGAGGGGGGCUCCUUUGCACAGUAGUGUCUAUCUGUGUGGUGACCUGAUUUCUGCUAUGAUCUCCCUUUGGAGAUCAAAGCAGGAUUAAUGUGAUUCUUUACUGUUUGCGUUGCACAUCUCAAAGCUCUGGAGACCUAAGCAAUAAGUACAAAUGCAGCCCCAGAACACGGGAAAAACGGAGUUUGAAUGGGGAGGGUUAAUAGCGCAAAGGCUAGCUAUGAAAAGUUAUUUGGGAUUUGAGAAGCAAUACAGAAUUUAGAGUACUUUGUAUUUUUAAGCACACUUGCUUUCUGUUUUUUUUCUGGGGCAAGGCUUUUGGCUAGUUGAUGAGGCCAGCACUGAAUGUCAUAUUAAUAAGUCUCCACAAUGACCUUCUAGCUCAUUUGGAAUGUUUUGCAGCUGCUAGUACACAUGAAAAGGGAAGGGAACCCUGCCGCAUGUUUUCACACGAAAUCACUUUCACCUUGCAACUGGCAUUUACGCAGAGGAUUUAAAAGAGGGUAAAAUCUUUUAAAAUACCAAAAUGUUGAGCUUUUGUGUUUCCACCGCGUGUGGCAUUCCUGGAUAGUGGAAACCCUCAAGAGCGAGUGUUUCUACCAUCUUUCAGAAGUGCUUGUGCUUUGUCGAGGAAAAAGGCAAGUCCCCUAUUCUUGGAAUCUCUGAAUGUAAAGGGGGAAAAAAUCGCUUUCGUUUUUAAUGCUUAGUGUAUACACCUCUUGGAGGGGGAGAAAGAGCUCCCCUCCUCCAAACUUGACUGUGAUUUUUAGCUGCGUUACUUAGAGGAGGGCGCGCCAGAGAGUAGCUCAACGUGCAGUUUUACAGGGACUCGGUACUCCGCGGAGAACCGGAUU